Molecule: long non-coding RNA, 275 nt
Filed under: Elaeis guineensis (African oil palm)
Lineage: Eukaryota; Viridiplantae; Streptophyta; Magnoliopsida; Arecales; Arecaceae
Description: long non-coding RNA (EGUI_LNC007326)
Source: RNAcentral
CCCUGUGCGGCCUCAAAACCAGUAAAGCUUGUCAGUAGAACCGGCCCUAGGCCACACAGAAGUCUCUCUGUGCAUCCUCUACGUGCUCAUGUGUGGCCGAACCCACCGACAAGUCCGAUCCUAGGUGACCACGCCGUUCUUACGAAGACCCCCUGAUAAUGGGUCGGAGUCCCUUUCGGCGCGCCCAUGCACGCCCCCCCUGCAUCCGAAGCCAGCCAGCAUGACCCCAAUGCCCUCCCGCAGAUUCAGCUCCUUCAGUGCUGCGAUCGCCCGUC